GAUGAACGCUAGCGGCAGGCCUAACACAUGCAAGUCGAGGGGUAUCCCGCUUUCGGGCGGGAGAGACCGGCGCACGGGUGCGUAACGCGUAUGCAACCUACCCUGUACUGGGGGAUAGCCCGGAGAAAUUCGGAUUAACACCCCAUAGUACUAAUGAAUGGCAUCAUUUAUUAGUUAAAGGUUACGGUACAGGAUGGGCAUGCGUCCUAUUAGCUAGAUGGUAAGGUAACGGCUUACCAUGGCUACGAUAGGUAGGGGGCCUGAGAGGGUGGGCCCCCAGACUGGUACUGAGACACGGACCAGACUCCUACGGGGGGCAGCAGUGGGGAAGAUUGGUCAAUGGGCGCAAGCCUGAACCAGCCAUGCCGCGUACAGGAAGACGGUCCUAUGGAUUGUAAACUGCUUUUAUUUGGGAAUAAACCUCUUUACGUGUAGAGAGCUGAAGGUACCAAAUGAAUAAGCACCGGCUAACUCCGUGCCAGCCGCCGCAGUAA
Molecule: ribosomal RNA, 494 nt
Filed under: uncultured bacterium
Lineage: Bacteria
Description: partial 16S ribosomal RNA
Rfam family: Bacterial small subunit ribosomal RNA
Source: RNAcentral